CGCAUGCGGUGGCAGAUCUGCUGGACAGAGCAGCCGAGUCUAGCAUUUGGAAGGUGGGGGAAGCGCUGCCAGUACUCCAACUAGACCUGAACGGCGCCUGCCCGUCUCUUGACUUGUCGGCGGCAGAUCAGAGCAGUCAACGAGGCACGACGAGCCGCAGGCCCAUGGCUGGAUAAAGAGGCCAUUUUCAAGGACCCGUUCAGGAGGGGUGACAACCUCCUUGUUAUGUGCGACUGCUACACACCACAAGGUGUUCCAAUCCCCACCAACAAGAAGAACAAUGCUGCCAAGAUCUUCAACACCCCGAAGGUUGCAGCUGAGGAGACAUGGUAUGGAAUUGAGCAGGAGUACACUCUCCUCCAGAAGGAUGUGAACUAGCCCGUUGGCUGGCCCAUUGGUGGCUACCCUAGUCCUCAGGCAAGAAAACUCUCAGCAUGCUCUCCAGCUUUCCAUGUGUUAAACUUACAUAAAAA
Molecule: long non-coding RNA, 473 nt
Organism: Triticum dicoccoides
Lineage: Eukaryota; Viridiplantae; Streptophyta; Magnoliopsida; Poales; Poaceae
Exons: 4
Source: RefSeq, a predicted model, not a curated record